Mytilus californianus (California mussel) is the source of this 2605-nucleotide long non-coding RNA. RefSeq lists it as uncharacterized. The record is from RefSeq and is a predicted model, not a curated record. The transcript has 3 exons. Lineage: Eukaryota; Metazoa; Mollusca; Bivalvia; Mytilida; Mytilidae.
AAUUCCAAAUGAUUAUUUUUUGUUGUUGACGUUUCACAAAUUUGAGGAUUUUGUUCAGUCAAAUAGAAACUAAUGGAUAAAUUCUUAAAAGGUGCUGAAGAUAUGGCAAAUGCAUUGGGAACAUCUGGUAAAGGAGAGAUUGAUCGUGGUGAUGGAAAGAUUGUAAGCUGGUCAUUCAAAGGUCAGAUAAUUGGUAUUGAGUGGAAAUACAUAGGUAUUUGUGUGGAUAGAGCCACUGGUGAAACAACUACUGCUAUAACACAAAGCAAAGGAGGGGCCAUUGAGCAUUCCAUGAAAGACCUGUUCCAGAGGCUGGCAUCAAAGAAUGCGUUAUAGAAUUAUAUACUUAUUUUUGACUCGGCACUAACAUAUGUCUUCUAUGUAAAAUAGUACACAUCCGGCUAUUUUCAAUAUUGAUUUUAAUACACUUAAUAUAUCGUGCAUUAUAAUCUCAAUAUUUAUUAAGAUUUUUGAGUUAACUCAAGUUGUAUCGUUCAGUUUUAUUUUAUGUAUUACAAUUUGUUUUAUAUGUAUUCCCCUACUUCUUUUACAAUAUCUUAAAACGAUCCGAUGCUUUAUACACUUUUGCAUAACAAUAAAAUUUACAACAAAUUAAUAUGCAUGUUAUUUUCGUACAAAAAAACCUACUAAAAGUCAAUGUUAAAUGGAAUCAAACCAGCACACAUCACGCCUCAACUCUCAUCGGUAUUAAUAAUGUAUAUUUAAUGACAUCAACCCACCACACAUGACGUCUCAACUCCCAUCGGUAUCAAUAAUGUAUAUGUAAUGACAUCAACCCACCGCACAUCACGCUUUAACUCAUGUCGGGUGUGUUGUAUAUAUAAUGGCAUCAAACCGUCACACGUCUCGCCGAAUAUCCCAUCGGGUGUGUUGUAUAUGUAAAAGCAUCAAACCACCACACAGCACGCCUAAAUUCCAAUCUGGUAUGUUGUAUAUGUAAUGGCAUCAAACCACCCCACAUCAAGCCUUAACUCCUGUCGGGUGUAUGUAUAUGUAAUGGCAACCACCCACCACACAUCAAGCCUUAACUCAUGUCGGGUGUAUUGAAUAUGUAAUGGCACCAUCCCACCACACGUCACGCCUAAAAUCCAAUCUGCUAUAUUGUAUUUGUAAUGGCAUCAAAUCACCCCACAUCAAGCCUUAACUCCUGUCGGGUGUGUUGGAUAUGUAAUGGCAUCACACCAGCACACACCACGCAUUAACUCCUGUCGGGUGUGUUGGAUAUGUAAUGGCAUCACACCAGCACACACCACGCCUUAACUCCUGUCGGGUAUGUUGGAUAUGUAAUGGCAUCACACCAGCACACACCACGCCUUAACUCCUGUCUGGUGUGUUGGAUAUGUAGUGGCAUCACACCAGCACACACCACGCCUUAACUGCUGUCGGGUGUGAUGUAUUUGUAAUGGCAUCACACCGGCACACGUCACGCCUAAACUCCUGUCUGGUGUGUUGUAUAUAUAAUGGCAUCACACCAGCACAUCACGCCUUAACUCCUGUCGGGUAUGUUGUAUAUGUAAUGACAUCAAACCGACACACAUCACGUCACAACUCACAUCUGGUAUAUUGUAAAUGUAAUGACAUUAAACGACCACACAUCACGCCUUAACUCCCAUCGGGUAUGUUUUGUAUGUAAUGACAUCAAACCACCACACAUCACGCCUUAACUCCCAUCGGGUAUGUUGUGUAUGUAAUGACAUCAAACCACCACACAUCACUCACAACUCCCAGCGGGUAUGUUGUAUGAUCUUGUAUAUGUAAUGAAAUCAAACAACAUCUCGCCUCAACCCCCAUUAGAUAUGAUGUAUAAAUAUGUAUGCAAUUAUCAAUAUUCUAUGUUAAUUGUAGAAAUGUCGUUGUGAUAGUGGUUUUGCGAUUUCUUAUGUAUGAGGCACGAUCGGUACGUAAUUUAAAUAUUAUUGUGUUUUUGGAGGGGUGUAAUCACGUUUCUCCAACAUUUAAUAAUUAGACUUCAAACCAUUGAAGACUAAAGGGUCCUGAUAAGGAUUGGCAUCUUGAUAUUUCUGUAAUUCACUUGUUCUUGACUAAAAUAUUGGUAAAAAGAUGUAUCUUUUUUGAAGAUAUGUAUUAACACAUUAACAAAAUAUCUUAAUUUCUUCUACAAUAAUUGGUGUUUCAUCAUUUAAAAGUCGACGUAAUCUAGCAAAUUGAUGUAUAUUUUUAUUUUAAAAAAGUAAAGAUUCACUUAAAAAAAAAGUUAAUGUAAGAACUGAUAAAGGUGAAUUACAGGUAAAUAUUAAGAUGUCAGUCCUUUAGGACCCUCUCAUCUUUAAUGUUGUUUUAGUUUCAUUAUCAAAUGUUGGAGACACGUGACUAACCCAAACACCUUUGGAAGUAUAAUUUAAUGCAUGAUUUUGAUUUAUUCAUCAUUAUAAAAUAAAAGAAAUAGAAUUGUAUAUAUGCAAAAUCUAGCUUAAUAUUUGAUUUAAUAGCGAUUUAAUCGUUUCUAAAACACUUUUAUUGUGAUCUUUUGUGAGAAUAUUUAUCUUUGAACUAUUAACAUAGAUUUGCGUUUCUGUUUAUUAUGUAAUGUUUUUGUUUUUUAUAAAUAAAAGAAUAAGAUGAU